This 237-nucleotide unclassified non-coding RNA is filed under the name plant metagenome. RNAcentral's name for it is "partial contains small subunit ribosomal RNA, internal transcribed spacer 1, and 5.8S ribosomal RNA". The record is from RNAcentral.
UUUCCGUAGGUGAACCUGCGGAAGGAUCAUUAACAAAUCAGUGUUGGGGAGAGGGAAGGGGAUGAUGUGGUGAGGGGACCUCUAUGAGGGAACCGAACCUAUCUCACUCUGAACUCGCUUCCAAACAUAUUAGGUCGGGGCGAAAGCCUCGUAUCUUAUUCACGCUUGUAUUGUUUGACAAAAUUAUUGAUUGAGAAUUAAACGAGACAACUUUUGACAAUGGAUCUCUUGGCUCUU